GGGACAGAUACAGAGUAUAUAGCUGGGAUGAGGAUACGGCUGGGACAGAUACAGAGCUGAGUCUGGGAUGGGGAUAAGAUUGGGAGAGAUACAGAGCUGAGUCUGGGAUGGAGAUAAGGCUGGGACUGAUUCAGAGUCUGGGGCUGGGAUUGGGAUGGAGAUAAGGCUGGGACAGAUACAGAGUCUUGGGCUGGGAUGGGGACAAGGCUGGGACAGAUACAGAGUCUUGGGCUGGGGGGGACAAGGCUGGGACAGAUACAGAGUCUAUAGCUGGGAUGAGGAUACGGCUGGGACAGAUACAGAUUCUGGUGCUGGGAUGGAGAUAAGGCUGGGACAGAUACAGAGCUGAGUCUGGGAUGGGGCAAGAUUGGGACAGAUAGAGAGCUGAGUCUGGGAUGGGGAUAAGAUUGGGACAGAUAAAGAGCUGAGUCUGGGAUGGGGAUAAGAUUGGGACAGAUACAGAGUCUUGGGCUGGGAUGGGGACAAUGCUGGGACUGAUACAGAGUCUGGGGCUGGGAUGGGGAUAAGGCUGGGACAGAUACAGAGCUGAGUCUGGGAUGGGGAUAAGAUUGGGACAGAUACAGAGCUGAGUCUGGGAUGGGAAUAAGGCUGGGACUGAUUCAGAGUCUGGGGCUGGGAUGGAGAUAAGGCUGGGACAGAUACAGAGCUGAGUCUGGGAUGGGGAUAAGGCUGGGACGGAUACAGAGCUGAGUCUAGGAUGGGGAUAAGAUUGGGACUGAUACAGAGUCUUGGGCUGGGAUGGGGACAAGGCUGGGACUGAUACAGAGUCUGUAGCUGGGAUGGGGAUAAGAUUGGGACAGAUACGGAGCUGAGUCUGGG
Oncorhynchus tshawytscha (Chinook salmon) is the source of this 840-nucleotide long non-coding RNA. Lineage: Eukaryota; Metazoa; Chordata; Actinopteri; Salmoniformes; Salmonidae. The record is from Ensembl.